This 74-nucleotide transfer RNA is filed under the name Candidatus Omnitrophica bacterium 4484_70.1. Its description in RNAcentral is "tRNA-Val". The record is from RNAcentral. Lineage: Bacteria; Pseudomonadati; Candidatus Omnitrophota.
GGGCAAUUAGCUCAGUUGGUUAGAGCGCGUCGCUCACAUCGACGAGGUCGCCCGUUCAAAUCGGGCAUUGCCCA